UGCAGGCUGAAACCCGCCUGUAUGAGGUUGGAAUCGCUAGUAAUCGCGGAUCAGCAUGCCGCGGUGAAUACGUUCCCGGGCCUUGUACACACCGCCCGUCACACCAUGAGAGUCGGGAACACCCGAAGUCCGUAGCCUAACCGCGAAGGGGGGCGCGGCCGAAGGUGGGUUCGAUAAUUGGGGUGAAGUCGUAACAAGGUAGC
Molecule: ribosomal RNA, 203 nt
Filed under: uncultured bacterium
Lineage: Bacteria
Description: partial 16S ribosomal RNA
Rfam family: Bacterial small subunit ribosomal RNA
Source: RNAcentral